Equus caballus (horse) is the source of this 7216-nucleotide non-coding RNA. The record is from RefSeq and is a predicted model, not a curated record. Lineage: Eukaryota; Metazoa; Chordata; Mammalia; Perissodactyla; Equidae.
CGGCGGGGGCGAGGGCGGGGCCCUAGAGGUGGGGUCGCAGGUGUAAACGUGCACGCUUUAAACUCUGCACGGCUUGAGGAGGUCACGCAGCGCUGCGUGUCCAACAGCCAAGCGUCUCACAGCGCGGGGAAAGCCUCUGACUCAGCAGGGUCUUCCCUCAGACACCGGGACCCGUCCUGGGAGGCCACCUAAGCGCCAGCCCCUUCGGUUGGUGACAAACAGUAUGGGGAAGGGCAGGAGCUGAUAAUUUCCUGAAAGUGAUAAAAGCCGUCCAUCCGCAGAUCAGGAAGUGCUCUGCAGCCCAAGAGGAAACGCGCAAAAAACGCUGGAUCCGCACUCCUCUUAAGGGAGCCGGGAAACCACAGAAAAGGGAAAACCUUCCAUUCGCUGGAGGAAAAGAGACCUAUUACCUCGACGUGCAAAAAGGGAAGAGCGAGCGCUGACUUUUCAACAGGAGAGCCGACGCCAAGAGACAGCGGAGCGAAAACUUCGCAGUCCUGAAAGUGAGUAACUGGCAACCUACGAUCUAAAUCCAGCAAAAACGAAGGUCAAAUAAAGACGUUUUGGAGAAACCAACUCUGAGAACGUUUGUCUCCACUGAGCCUCACUUCAGGAAGCAUUCAGCGGUGUCCUUCAAGCGGGAGGAGAAUGACCCAGAACAGCCCAGAGUACAGGAAGGAGGGAGAUGAACAGAGAGGGUGUGUUGUAUGGAACCCCCACAAAGGAGGACUUGUGCAACAGUCACGUCUUCAACUGUCUCUAGAGAAUUAGAAUGUGACAACAACAGCACAGAAGUCAUGAGGGGCAUAAGUGGAGUGUGGUUGGCUGGCCCCCGACAGAGUCCACUGUCCUAGUCCCCAGGACCUGUGACUGUGACCUUACCUGGUGAAAGGACUUAGAGGUGUGAUUAAGUUAAGGAUGUUGAGAUGGGAGAUGAUCCUGGAUUAUCCCAGUGGGCCCCCCCCAAAUGCUAUCACAGUGUCCUGUGGGGGAGGCAGAGGGAGAGCUGACAUGGAGGAGGCCAUGCGCUCACCUUGGAAGAGAGAGAGGUUUGAAGAUUGUUCUAAAAUUUGUACUUGGCAUUGGCUUCGAUCAGAUAUGCCCAAUGUGCAGACACGGAAAUCCUUGCCACAAGGGAAGAAGGUCGUGCUCAUAGAUCCCUAGGAACAGGAGGCAGGCUCCCCAUGCAAGGCCACACGGGGAGCCCAAGGCGCGUCAGGAAGGGCCUCACAUAGGAGUCUUUAUGACAGGCAGGACACACCCGCUUCCGAUGCAGGAAAGGGCAAUGGGAGAGCUCUCCUCAUUGGUGUGAGGCGUGAGUGGGCCAAAGGCCCUUUAGUUAAGGGUGUGGAAGGCCGGACAAGACACAGGCUCACCUAGGGUCUGUUUGCUGAACUGGAAUUUGACAGAAGUUGGUUAAGAAGAGCAUCAAGUCUCUCAGUUAAAUGGGCUCUCUGGGACCUCACAGGGACAUGGCAGUUCUCUCUGUAUUUUAACAAGUAACAUGUGUGUCUUGGUCACUGUUAUAAUGUCUGUAACUCCAAAGGGAGUAGGUGUGUCCUGACCAGGCCUUGGAUUGUGGCCUUAGUAUGUGUGCAGACAUGCUGAUUUUAAUUUAUAUUUUGCAUUCUGUGAGACAAGAGACUCCUAGGGUUCCAUCCACUGAAGGGGACGAUUUUUAGUCAAUGGCCUGAUUGUGUAUGAUCACUGUGCGGAGAAGCCAUCGUUGUUCAGGGCAUCCACUGCUAUGACAACAGAUGAAGUUUGGCCAAGUGUCUUGACCCCUGGGUACAUCUGUCAUCAGGGACGUCCCAAUUGAGGAAGGGCAAGCAGCAGCACUCCACCGAGCUCUGUCACGCUGGUGGCUGGCAGUGCCACUUGCAUAGUCCACGAACUCCCACUGCUGUUCGCUUGGUUAGUCCCAAGGGGCUCCAGGUAGCCAAGGGGUCUGGGGGAGGAACGUGGUGCCACUAGAACCCAAAAAGGACUAAAAGGUGUUGGACCUGUGUGUCCGUAAUGAGUGUGUCACGUGAGUCUCCUUGGAGAAGGCUGUCAUCAGUGUAAGGCCACACCCGUGCUCGUGGAGAGAGGUGGCUGCAGCCGAGCUCUUGUCUGCAGAGGUCGUGUGCGCUGGAAAGCUGAGGGACCCAUGGGCAGCCUGAGAAGGCGCAUGGUGUCCCUUCGAGGUGGAGGCAACUGCAGCUGAGAGGCUGGCGACGUGGGCCCUGGACUGAGCAUGCUAGCUCACCUACCCGAGCAUGACAUGCUCCAGCAGUCGGCUGGGCAGAGCCACAAUUCAGUGACAUCGGGUAUUGAGGGUGGAGGCCCUACAGACGGGACCCUGCUCCAAGGCUGUGGGAAUCCACCUUGGGGUGCCCUCAGUUCUUCCAGUAAAAGAAUAGGCAAAAGUGGGCGCUUUUUUCUCCCUUACCUUGGUUUUCUUUCUUCCUCUUCUCCCCGCUCUUUUUUCUUUUCUGUUUUCGGCUCCAUUUAUCUCUGGCUGAGAAGUGUGGGCUGCGGCUGCCUCUCCCUGGGACGUCGACCGUCAGUGGCAGCAUCGGUCCUUCUCAUAACAAAAUCCAGUUUUCUCUCUUAAAUCAGACCUGGCUGCAUCUCUAGGCAGGCGAGAACUUUUCUGUUUCCCCCUGAUUGUACUCUUGAAGCCUUGGUGUUUGGGCUAUGGCCCUGGGGACAUGGCCCUGCCCAGGACUCGUGGAUUCCUGGAGGCGCUGAGACAUGAGAGAGGGCCUUCAACGACAGAUGAACUACCAGAGCCCACACCCCAUGGGCUCCCAUCUCCUUCUCCCACACCAAGCAAAUACUCCCCCUGCCCCAAGCCGCCCCUGCCAGGUACUGGCCAACCAGGGGCCGCCCCCAUAGCCCAGACCUGCAGAAAGCGUUCAAACCAGCCAGUGCUAACUUUCUGUGUGUACCUUUGCUGCCUUGCACGUUCUUCCCUUUGGAGACCCCAGUAAGGCUGUGAGCCACGUUCUCUUCAUGGCUGCCUGUCUCCUGGCUCAAACUGGUGUCUCCCGUGUUGCCCUGUGUGGUGUACUCUUUCUCUUGGGAAAUAUAAGUAAUAGAUUCUUCUUUCAAAGGCAGUUGCCUCUGUUUCUGUUACCUUCCCAUAUCUGAUUAAAACAAAUCCUGGGUGCAAAUUUUAGGAUAAAUGCUGUGUUGCUUUGACAAUGGAGGAAGGGGCCGCAAGCACAGGGAUGCAGGGAUGGCGGCUCCAGAAGCUGGAAAAGGCCGGCAGUCGGCCACUGGAGGGAAAGGUCCUGCCUGCACCUAGGACACAUGUGGGGGCCUCGGCUCUCCUAGAUUGGAACCAUAUGGCCAGAGCAGCGGGGACAGCGUGGCAGUGGGCACAGAUGGACAAAGGCCCCCCAGGGACACAGCACGGCACACAUGGCAGGGUCUGUAGGGUCAUAGAGUUUUGUAAAACCUGAUAAACUGAGGUGCUGUGACCACAGCAGUUCCCACGCUGUCUCGGGCUCCCAGUCGUGCUUCCCCUCUUGCUGGAGAGGUGGGGGCACUUUUGGGAUCUGGCCCGGGGGAAGUUGAGUUGUGGAAAUGUCAGCUGGGGUUCAGUGGAGUGUAUUUAUGUCGUCCCCGUCACUUCCCUGCAUAAUGAAGUUGAUGCCGGACAUCCUGGAGUAGAGAACAGCUUCCAGGAGCUCCGGUGGCAACAAACCAGGAGGAGUGAGUCACUGGACCCUGAGAAAGGCACUGAGCACCCGCUGACUUCACAGGAAAUGCUGACGUUGACGAGGUCACGCAGAGUCCCGACAGCCAAGGUGACGAGGACAUCAUGGGGAAGGCUCAUCAGAUCAGCAGCCACGUUCCAGACCAGUCACAGCGCAGGGAACGUGCGCUGCCCAGAACUUCCCUGCUUUCAGAUGAAAGAAGCAGAGAAAGUCUCUCAAACUUCGGCAGCAGUCCUAUCGAUAGCCCCAAUGGCCUCCGGUUGCCCCAAACCUGGAUUGGCUCAGCCCCACGCUUACCUGGUCAGUGUGCCGGGUCACUAGACCACAGCUGGACCCCACCUCACACCGCCUGCCGGAGCAGGCCUGCUGGCUGGGAGAUGUAAAUGUGAAAGCCAGCAACUCCAGCAUCCUCACCGCCUCCGCCCAGGCAGGUGCCUGGACAGCACCCCAAGUCCUUGCCAGAAAGGACAAGGCAGAUCACUGGAAAAGGUGGAAACUAAGAAGGCCUGUUCGCCGAAAGCCAGCAUGGAAAGGGUGGCAGGGCCGCCUGCUGUGGAGGAGGCUGUGUGCUCUGUGGUGCAGACACAGUGGAUCCCCCAUAAUUGCAAAUUCACCCCCUCCCUGGGGUUUGUCUGUGGCCCCACAAUCCACGCUCACAGUGCUUCCGUGGUCUUUUGGGGACCUGCACGCUCCCAGCUGAGGUGGAUGGGACGACGCUCUGCCUUCUGGUUUCAGCUCACGUGUCAACAAGUGUCCUUUCCCGCCUGUUUAGUGCCACGUUUUCCACACCUUUGUGCUUUUUGUUGGUGAAGACGGCCCGAGGCCUGGAGCUGGAGUUCCGCCUGGUGUUCUAAGCGCAGGAGGCCGGACGAGCCUGACGGAGAAGAUCCCGCGUCACGUGGGCUCCUGCAGGCCGAGGGCAGUCUGCCGCGGGCUCGGCGUUCACGCAUCAGCCACGUGCGUGCAGUGCGGUGUCUUUCAGCAGAAGCACACGCGGAACGAGGCUCUGCCGACCCACUGAGGAAACCUGCGGCCGCACCUCGCGGAAGCUGGCGCUGAUUUCCCCAGGAGCAGGGCUUCGCGAUCCCUCACUCAGUAAUUCCAUCUUCGCGGUGACUUUUUAGAGCAGAGCAACCGCGAAUAGCGAGAAUGGACUGUAACUGGCGAAAGAAUCGCCUCCAGAAUGUACGAUGAGCUCCUGCAAACCGGUGAGAAGGAGACACCCCACGGCACACAGUCACGACAUUGGACAGAGGCUCCGAAGAAGAGCUGCAGGUGGCAGGGGACUCUGACGGGGUGCAGGCGUCCCUCACCACAGAGCAAAUGCCCACCACACAGACGCCUCUGCACCCCACCAGAAAGCCCGAAAUCACAAAACUGUUAGUGUCCAAGGUUGACAAAAACGCCUGAAGAGGAACGUCUCCUGUGCUGCUGGUGGAAGCACUGCAAGUGGACGAACGAGAAGGCCUCCAGGAAGAAGGAACACCUGCAGGACGUUCAUCAUCGUAGACAGAAGAAAAGAACAAUGAGGGACCCUGGAGUCCGUCACGCCCGAAGGCCGACAUCUCCACACCCCUCCUCACUGCCCAUUUUCCCUAUAACUGCCUCGAGGUUCCGUAAUUCUUUGAGAUGGUUUUUUGAGACAUUAGUCUGCCAUCUUCCGGUUAUACUGGCUAAUCAAAUAAAGGCUUCCUUUCUCGAUCUCUAACUCAUCGUGAUUAAUUGGCUCAGAUCAUGGUGAGCAGAGCGAGACCGUUGCUUGGUACCAGUAGGAGUUUUGAUUUUUGCGUCGAUUUUUGGAAAGCUGUUUGGGGUUAUCUUCCAGAGGUGAACACAGCAUGCCUACUUCAGCAGACAUGUGCUCAUGUGCACAUGUGGACGAGAAUGUUCCUGGAAGCCUUUUCAUAAAAACCGAAGCCUGGCAACCAGCCGCUAACAGUAGAAAGAACAAAGUGUAGUGCAUACCCACAGCAGAACGGCCGCAAGUGUGCAACUGAGUGUGCAGCAGCAACGAAAAGACCCAUCAGCGGCGCUGAAAACAAAACGCCAGGUGAAAGGAGCCAUCGCUGCACACUGCACUACCAGUCCAUUUCCGUGCUGUCGCUCAGGCCAGCAGAGUGCGGGUGUGAGCGUUCAGUGUGCAGGGUUCUGGAACAGAGUGCCACAGACGUAAAUGGCAGCUUAAACACAGACAUUUAUUCUCUCCCUAAUUCUCUCCCUGAUAUGUUGAAACUCUAACACUCCACCCCCCAAGCCCGUGAUGGUGUCCGGAGGUGGGGCCUUCGGUAGGUGAUUGGGGUCAGGUGAGGUCAUGAGGGUGGGACCCUCCUGAUGGGAUUUGUGCCCUUCCGAGAAGAGACACCAGAGAGCUUGCGCUGUCUCUCCACCGUGUGCAGACACAUCGGCAAGGUGGCUGUCUGCAAACGAGGAAGUGGCUCUCGCCAGAACCCGGCCGUGCUGGCACCUGCUCUCCGGCUUCCAGCCUCCAGAACUGGGAGAAAUAAAUGUCUGCUGUUGAGGCCGCCAGUCUGUGGUAUUUUGUUAUGGGGCCCGAGCUGACCAUGACAGUGAGAACAGAAAGGGAGAGACAGACAGCCCUGUGGAACCAAAUGGUCAAGAGCCUUGAAGGGGCCUGCACAAGAGGCUGUCCACAGCAGCAGACGGAGCCUGGGCCUGCACUGGGUGCUGUGUUCCAGGCAGAGAUUUGGUUGUGAGCUUCAACCACAAGCUGCCAGUUAUUUAGGAAGGUAUUCUAAGAAGUUCGUGGGAGGGUUUGAUGGAAGUACAGCUUUCCAUUUGGUUAAUGUGCUGGAUCAGGAAGCACCAAGUUCUGCAGAAAUGGUCAGAUGUGGAUUUUCCUUUUUAAGAUGUUUUCUCUGCACUCCUCUUUCUUGCGACUUGAGAAAGAAAGCUAUGUCCUCAAAUCCUGUUUCCUUAAGUCAGUGGCAGUUUGGAUCAUGGGAAGUGGGCUUCGAUAGAAAACUCUGCCUUCUCACAGGCACUGUGAUUGGGUCCCAACCCUCCCAGGCCUAAUGGAGAACAGGUUCAUCGGGUGGGUGGCCGAAAGAGAGAGGAGUGGACCAGGGUGCCCGAAGCCAUCUGGCGUGAGGUUCAGGAAGUGGGGAGGAGGCUGGCAGGAAGCUGAAGGCUCCAGGAGCAGGGACUCAGAGCAGGUCCCAGGCGCCUGUCUGAGGGACUCAACCGGCCUUUGCACUCUCUCUUCUCCCCCGACCCCCACCACCCAGAUGUGCUCUCUGCUGCCAGGCCAGCUCCUCCUGGUCACUCAGUCCUGGCUGCCUCCAUCCACAGUGGCACCAAGACACUAAGCGGCGUCUCCCGGGCCUGUUUAUUUUUCAGUUUGCUGUCUGUCUGCCCCAGAACUCAGCUCCAGGUGUGCGGCCGAUGCUCAGUGCAGUUUCUGGACACUGAUGAACCUUCCCAGGAUCCAUGGUGUCUUCAGACCCAGUCCCUGGUCCCACCCUGUCUUCCUCCGCUGUCCACUCCUGGGA